GGCGAGAGCCCGAUCCUUCGGCCCGGCACUCAUAAUGCCGGGGUCGAGGGUUCGAGUCCCUCCCUUUCCACCA
Molecule: transfer RNA, 73 nt
Filed under: Verrucomicrobia bacterium 13_2_20CM_54_12
Lineage: Bacteria; Pseudomonadati; Verrucomicrobiota
Also listed under: 1 other name
Description: tRNA-Met
Source: RNAcentral